CCUACGGGUGGCAGCAGUAGGGAAUAUUGCUCAAUGGGGGAAACCCUGAAGCAGCAACGCCGCGUGGAGGAUGAAGGUUUUCGGAUUGUAAACUCUUUUUGUUAGAGAAGAUAAUGACGGUAUCUAACGAAUAAGCACCGGCUAACUCCGUGCCAGCAGCCGCGGUAAUACGGAGGGUGCAAGCGUUACUCGGAAUCACUGGGCGUAAAGAGCGCGUAGGCGGGAUGGCAAGUCAGAUGUGAAAUCCUAUGGCUUAACCAUAGUACUGCAUUUGAAACUGUUAUUCUAGAGUAUGGGAGAGGUAGGUGGAAUUCUUGGUGUAGGGGUAAAAUGCGUAGAGAUCAAGAGGAAUACUCAUUGCGAAGGCGACCUGCUAGAACAUAACUGACGCUGAUGCGCGAAAGCGUGGGGAGCAAACAGGAUUAGAUACCCCUGUAGUC
This 440-nucleotide ribosomal RNA is filed under the name uncultured bacterium. RNAcentral's name for it is "partial 16S ribosomal RNA". It matches the Rfam family "Bacterial small subunit ribosomal RNA", at positions 338 to 795 of the family's 1533-position model. The record is from RNAcentral.